AGAGUUUGAUCCUGGCUCAGGAUGACCUCUGGCGGCGUGCCUAACACAUGCAAGUCGAACGGAGCCUUAACCAAAGAAGCAGCCAGCUUGCUGGAAGCGGAAAAGGGAAAGGCUUAGUGGCGGACGGGUGAGUAACGCGUGGGUAACCUGGCCCAUACAGGGGGAUAACACUUAGAAAUAGGUGCUAAUACCGCAUAACAACAGAAAGCGCAUGCUUUUUGUUUGAAAACCAAGGUGGUAUGGGAUGGACCCGCGUCUGAUUAGCUGGUUGGCGGGGUAAAGGCCCACCAAGGCGACGAUCAGUAGCCGGCCUGAGAGGGUGGACGGCCACAUUGGGACUGAGACACGGCCCAAACUCCUACGGGAGGCAGCAGUGGGGAAUAUUGCACAAUGGGGGAAACCCUGAUGCAGCGACGCCGCGUGAGUGAAGAAGUAAUUCGUUAUGUAAAGCUCUAUCAGCAGGGAAGAAAAUGACGGUACCUGAGUAAGAAGCCCCGGCUAACUACGUGCCAGCAGCCGCGGUAAUACGUAGGGGGCAAGCGUUAUCCGGAUUUACUGGGUGUAAAGGGAGCGUAGACGGCAGUGCAAGUCUGGAGUGAAAGGCGGGGGCUCAACCCCCGGACUGCUCUGGAAACUGUACGGCUGGAGUGCAGGAGAGGUAAGUGGAAUUCCUAGUGUAGCGGUGAAAUGCGUAGAUAUUAGGAGGAACACCAGUGGCGAAGGCGGCUUACUGGACUGUAACUGACGUUGAGGGCCGAAAGCGUGGGGAGCAAACAGGAUUAGUUCCCCCUGGUAGUCCCACGCCCGUAAACGAUGAUCACUAGGAGUCGGGGAUUAAAGAACCUUCGGUGCCGCAACCAACGCAGUAAGUGAUCCACCUGGGGAGUACGUUCACAAGAAUGAAACUUAAAGGAAUUGACGGGGACCCGCACAAGCGGUGGAGCAUGUGGUUUAAUUCGAAGCAACGCGAAGAACCUUACCAGGCCUUGACAUCCCCCUGAAUGGGUGGUAAUGCAUCCAGCCCUUCGGGGCAGGGGAGACAGGUGGUGCAUGGUUGUCGUCAGCUCGUGUCGUGAGAUGUUGGGUUAAGUCCCGCAACGAGCGCAACCCCUAUCCUUAGUAGCCAGCGAGCAAGACGGGCACUCUAGGGAGACUGCCGGGGAUAACCCGGAGGAAGGUGGGGAUGACGUCAAAUCAUCAUGCCCCUUAUGGCCUGGGCUACACACGUGCUACAAUGGCGUAAACAAAGGGAAGCGAAGGCGUGAGCGUAAGCAAAACCCAAAAAUAACGUCCCAGUUCGGAUUGUAGUCUGCAACCCGAAUACAUGAAGCUGGAAUCGCUAGUAAUCGCGGAU
Molecule: ribosomal RNA, 1354 nt
Filed under: uncultured bacterium
Lineage: Bacteria
Description: bacterial SSU rRNA
Rfam family: Bacterial small subunit ribosomal RNA
Source: RNAcentral